Molecule: ribosomal RNA, 301 nt
Filed under: uncultured bacterium
Lineage: Bacteria
Description: partial 16S ribosomal RNA
Rfam family: Bacterial small subunit ribosomal RNA
Source: RNAcentral
CAGUCGCCGCGGUAACACGAAGGGGGCUAGCGUUGUUCGGAAUCACUGGGCGUAAAGCGCACGUAGGCGGAUUUUUAAGUCAGGGGUGAAAUCCCGAGGCUCAACCUCGGAACUGCCUUUGAUACUGGAGAUCUUGAGUUCGGAAGAGGUUGGUGGAACAGCUAGUGUAGAGGUGAAAUUCGUAGAUAUUAGCUAGAACACCGGUGGCGAAGGCGGCAACCUGGCUCAUUACUGACGCUGAGGCGCGAAAGCGUGGGGAGCAAACAGGAUUAGAUACCCGGGUAGUCCCUGUCUCUUAUAC